ACUCACGUAUAUAUAUAUAUAUAUAUUUAUACGUAUCAAAGAGAAAAAAAUCUUUCGUUCAAAGAACAGAGACAAGAGAAGAAAGAGAACGACGACAUAUGCGCUCGAGCGCGAGAAAGACGAAGACAGUUGGGGAACGAACAGGCGUAUAUGAAAAACGAUAUAACGCGACGAUAAUCGUCGUCGAUCUUUUAGGCUCCUGAAGUCAUGAAGUAAAAGAAAGAAAACAAAGAGAAAACAAAAAAAAAACAAAAAAAGAACCAAAGGGGACGACUACCAAGUAUUUCCUUCCUCUUCUCGAGGAGAGACGAGAAAAAGACACGCCGGCCAAGAGGCGCGGCGACGAACUCAGCUCGAAGCGACCGAACUCAGUCCUCAGUGUAGGCUAGUCGGCUCGCUCACGGUGCUAGUGCUUUAAAGGCUUACGCUCCUUGCACCUAAAGAAACACAAAAGUAAUAACCAACAAGAACGAGAAGAACAACGACGACGAAAAGAGAA
Molecule: long non-coding RNA, 499 nt
Organism: Vespula pensylvanica (western yellowjacket)
Lineage: Eukaryota; Metazoa; Arthropoda; Insecta; Hymenoptera; Vespidae
Exons: 2
Source: RefSeq, a predicted model, not a curated record